Small nucleolar RNA from Tachyglossus aculeatus (Australian echidna), 138 nucleotides. The record is from RefSeq and is a predicted model, not a curated record. Lineage: Eukaryota; Metazoa; Chordata; Mammalia; Monotremata; Tachyglossidae.
UUCCUCUCGGGGCCACACCUGGAGAGUUUCCAGUAUUCUACCAGUCUCGGCUACAGGACGGAGAGUCAAGCAGAGGCCUGUCAAUUCCAUUCCUAGCUUGGCCAGUGGCUAGCGAGUGGAAGGCAACCUGCUACAAGU